RNAcentral lists this long non-coding RNA (368 nucleotides) under Vitis vinifera (wine grape). RNAcentral describes it as "long non-coding RNA (VVIN_LNC007728)". Lineage: Eukaryota; Viridiplantae; Streptophyta; Magnoliopsida; Vitales; Vitaceae. The record is from RNAcentral.
ACUAUUAUGGUGGUAGCACAUAUGGUACCGCAAACCGAAGUCAAGAAGUUGUGGCUAAUCCCUUUACCAAACCCCCUAUCUAAGAAGUUGAGGCUAAUUAUUGACCAAUAAUUCUUGUAACCCUAAUCAUGAUAAUCAUACUUAUAUGGUGGAAUAUCUGUUUGAUAUAAAUUUUUUGAAUAUUAUCAAUAACCCCCAACUCAAUUUGAAAUCAAAUAUUAUGGAUGUGAAGAUGUAUCUAUUAAGAAUAAAAUAUUGAGUAAAUCAUUUACUUAAAAUGGAAUACAAGAAAGAAAUUAAUACCUUUAUCAACCUCUUAUAUUUAAUAUCCUCCAAUAUCUUAUUAAUCUAUUUUAGAAAUAUUUUUU